UCGUCUUCCAACUUUAAAAUUCAGUACUAGAUAGAAGUGCCGUUCUCCUCAUCCAUUC
This 58-nucleotide small RNA is filed under the name Caenorhabditis elegans. Its description in RNAcentral is "Unclassified non-coding RNA ZC506.6". The record is from RNAcentral. Lineage: Eukaryota; Metazoa; Nematoda; Chromadorea; Rhabditida; Rhabditidae.